AAAUGAAUAGACGGGGACCCGCACAAGCAGCGGAGCAUGUGGUUUAAUUCGAAGCAACGCGAAGAACCUUACCAAGACUUGACAUCUAUAUGACCGCCUUCGAAAAAGGGCUUCUCUUCGGAGCAUAUAGACAGGUGGUGCACGGUUGUCGUCAGCUCGUGUCGUGAGAUGUUUGGUUAAGUCCAGCAACGAGCGCAACCCUUAUCACUAGUUGCCAGUAUUAAGUUAGGAACUCUAGUGAGACUGCCGUAGAUAAUACGGAGGAAGGUGGGGAUGACGUCAAAUCAUCAUGCCCCUUACGUCUUGGGCUACACACGUGCUACAAUGGCUAUUACAAAGAGCAGCAAUAUGGUAACAUUGAGCGAAUCUCACAAAAAUAGUCUCAGUUCGGAUUGUGGGCUGCAACUCGCCCACAUGAAGUCGGAGUUGCUAGUAAUCCCGAAUCAGAACGUCGGGGUGAAUGCGUUCCCGGGUCUUGUACACACCGCCCGU
RNAcentral lists this ribosomal RNA (492 nucleotides) under uncultured bacterium. Its description in RNAcentral is "bacterial SSU rRNA". It matches the Rfam family "Bacterial small subunit ribosomal RNA", at positions 903 to 1397 of the family's 1533-position model. The record is from RNAcentral.